AACACAGGUAAAGACUGUUAAAAGAUGAAAUUAAACAAUGAAAGAUAGUGCAUAAUAAAAUCAACAAUACAACAAGGGUUCAG
Long non-coding RNA from Etheostoma spectabile (orangethroat darter), 83 nucleotides. RefSeq lists it as uncharacterized. The record is from RefSeq and is a predicted model, not a curated record. The transcript is spliced from 3 exons. NCBI's taxonomy places the organism in Eukaryota, Metazoa, Chordata, Actinopteri, Perciformes, Percidae.